CCCUUAGAUGUUCUGGGCCGCACGCGCGCUACACUGACGAAUGCAACGAGCUUAUAACCUUGGCCGAAAGGUCUGGGUAAUCUCCAAAUUUCGUCGUGAUGGGGAUAGAUUAUUGCAAUUAUUAAUCUUCAACGAGGAAUGCCUAGUAAGCGCAAGUCAUCAGCUUGCGUUGUUUACGUCCCUGCCCUUUGUACACACCGCCCGUCGCUCCUACCGAUUGAAUGGUCCGGUGAAGCGUUCGGACCGUGGCCUUUGGACGGUUCGCCGUCUGUUGGCUGCGGGAAGUUCGUUAAACCUUAUCAUUUAGAGGAAGGAGAAGUCGUAACA
This 327-nucleotide ribosomal RNA is filed under the name uncultured eukaryote. RNAcentral's name for it is "partial 18S ribosomal RNA". It matches the Rfam family "Eukaryotic small subunit ribosomal RNA", at positions 1470 to 1796 of the family's 1831-position model. The record is from RNAcentral.